Molecule: ribosomal RNA, 253 nt
Filed under: uncultured bacterium
Lineage: Bacteria
Description: partial 16S ribosomal RNA
Rfam family: Bacterial small subunit ribosomal RNA
Source: RNAcentral
UACGAAGGGGGCUAGCGUUGUUCGGAUUUACUGGGCGUAAAGCGCACGUAGGCGGAUAUUUAAGUUAGGGGUGAAAUCCCAGGGCUCAACCCAGGAACUGCCUCUAAUACUGGAUAUCUUGAGUUCGAGAGAGGUGAGUGGAAUUCCGAGUGUAGAGGUGAAAUUCGUAGAUAUUCGGAGGAACACCAGUGGCGAAGGCGGCUCACUGGCUCGAUACUGACGCUGAGGUGCGAAAGCGUGGGGAGCAAACAGG